AGGACGAACGCUGGCGGCGUGCUUAACACAUGCAAGUCGAGCGGAAAGGCCCUUCGGGGUACUCGAGCGGCGAACGGGUGAGUAACACGUGAGUAAUCUGCCCCUAGCUCUGGGAUAGCUCCGGGAAAACCGGGAUUAAUACCGGAUACGACCACCUUAGACAUCUUUUGUGGUGGAAAGAAUUUCGGCUAGGGAUGAGCUCGCGGCCUAUCAGCUUGUUGGUGGGGUAACGGCCUACCAAGGCGACGACGGGUAGCCGGCCUGAGAGGGCGACCGGCCACACUGGGACUGAGACACGGCCCAGACUCCUACGGGAGGCAGCAGUGGGAAUAUUGCGCAAUGGGCGAAAGCCUGACGCAGCGACGCCGCGUGGGGGAUGAAGGCCUUCGGGUUGUAAACCCCUUUCAGCAGGGACGAAGCGAAAGUGACGGUACCUGCAGAAGAAGCGCCGGCUAACUACGUGCCAGCAGCCGC
This 474-nucleotide ribosomal RNA is filed under the name uncultured bacterium. RNAcentral describes it as "SSU rRNA". It matches the Rfam family "Bacterial small subunit ribosomal RNA", at positions 26 to 518 of the family's 1533-position model. The record is from RNAcentral.